RNAcentral lists this ribosomal RNA (1431 nucleotides) under Enterococcus durans. Its description in RNAcentral is "bacterial SSU rRNA". It matches the Rfam family "Bacterial small subunit ribosomal RNA". The record is from RNAcentral. Lineage: Bacteria; Bacillati; Bacillota; Bacilli; Lactobacillales; Enterococcaceae.
AUACAUGCAAGUCGUACGCUUCUUUUUCCACCGGAGCUUGCUCCACCGGAAAAAGAAGAGUGGCGAACGGGUGAGUAACACGUGGGUAACCUGCCCAUCAGAAGGGGAUAACACUUGGAAACAGGUGCUAAUACCGUAUAACAAUCGAAACCGCAUGGUUUUGAUUUGAAAGGCGCUUUCGGGUGUCGCUGAUGGAUGGACCCGCGGUGCAUUAGCUAGUUGGUGAGGUAACGGCUCACCAAGGCCACGAUGCAUAGCCGACCUGAGAGGGUGAUCGGCCACAUUGGGACUGAGACACGGCCCAAACUCCUACGGGAGGCAGCAGUAGGGAAUCUUCGGCAAUGGACGAAAGUCUGACCGAGCAACGCCGCGUGAGUGAAGAAGGUUUUCGGAUCGUAAAACUCUGUUGUUAGAGAAGAACAAGGAUGAGAGUAACUGUUCAUCCCUUGACGGUAUCUAACCAGAAAGCCACGGCUAACUACGUGCCAGCAGCCGCGGUAAUACGUAGGUGGCAAGCGUUGUCCGGAUUUAUUGGGCGUAAAGCGAGCGCAGGCGGUUUCUUAAGUCUGAUGUGAAAGCCCCCGGCUCAACCGGGGAGGGUCAUUGGAAACUGGGAGACUUGAGUGCAGAAGAGGAGAGUGGAAUUCCAUGUGUAGCGGUGAAAUGCGUAGAUAUAUGGAGGAACACCAGUGGCGAAGGCGGCUCUCUGGUCUGUAACUGACGCUGAGGCUCGAAAGCGUGGGGAGCAAACAGGAUUAGAUACCCUGGUAGUCCACGCCGUAAACGAUGAGUGCUAAGUGUUGGAGGGUUUCCGCCCUUCAGUGCUGCAGCUAACGCAUUAAGCACUCCGCCUGGGGAGUACGACCGCAAGGUUGAAACUCAAAGGAAUUGACGGGGGCCCGCACAAGCGGUGGAGCAUGUGGUUUAAUUCGAAGCAACGCGAAGAACCUUACCAGGUCUUGACAUCCUUUGACCACUCUAGAGAUAGAGCUUCCCCUUCGGGGGCAAAGUGACAGGUGGUGCAUGGUUGUCGUCAGCUCGUGUCGUGAGAUGUUGGGUUAAGUCCCGCAACGAGCGCAACCCUUAUUGUUAGUUGCCAUCAUUUAGUUGGGCACUCUAGCAAGACUGCCGGUGACAAACCGGAGGAAGGUGGGGAUGACGUCAAAUCAUCAUGCCCCUUAUGACCUGGGCUACACACGUGCUACAAUGGGAAGUACAACGAGUCGCGAAGUCGCGAGGCUAAGCUAAUCUCUUAAAGCUUCUCUCAGUUCGGAUUGUAGGCUGCAACUCGCCUACAUGAAGCCGGAAUCGCUAGUAAUCGCGGAUCAGCACGCCGCGGUGAAUACGUUCCCGGGCCUUGUACACACCGCCCGUCACACCACGAGAGUUUGUAACACCCGAAGUCGGUGAGGUAACCUUUUGGAGCCAGCC